This 491-nucleotide ribosomal RNA is filed under the name uncultured bacterium. RNAcentral's name for it is "partial 16S ribosomal RNA". It matches the Rfam family "Bacterial small subunit ribosomal RNA", at positions 29 to 507 of the family's 1533-position model. The record is from RNAcentral.
AGUGAACGCUGGCGGCGGGCCUAACACAUGCAAGUCGAACGGCAGCACAUUAAGAUUUCGCCAUUACGGGGGGCGGGGGGCGGGCGGGUGAGGAGUACAUCGGCUUCUACUUUUCGGGGGGGAAAAACUGGGGAAAACUACGCAUAACCCGUAAAACAUCUACCGGUGAAAUGAAGGGAUGUUCGGACCCUUUGCGUCUCUAAGAGACGAUGUCGGAUUUGCUUAUUGGGGGGGUAAAGGCCCACCACGGCGAGGAUCCGUAGCCUGGCCGAGAGGAGGAUCGGCCACACUGGAACUGAGACACGGUCCAGACUCCUACGGGAGGCAGCAGUGGGGAAUAUUGGACAAUGGGCGCAAGCCUGAUCCAGCCAUACCGCGUGGGUGAAGAAGGCCUUCGGGUUGUAAAGCCCUUUUGUUGGGAAAGAAAAGCAGCAGGUUAAAACCCCGCUGUUCUGACGGUACCCAAAGAGUAAGCACCGGCUAACUUCGUG